UUGCUUUAGCAGCAUAUAUACUAAAAAUGGAAAGAUACAGAGAAGAUUAGCAUGGCUGCUGUGCAAGGAUGAUAUGCAAAUUUGCCCUUUCCUCAUUGUAUAU
Mustela erminea (ermine) is the source of this 103-nucleotide small nuclear RNA. NCBI's taxonomy places the organism in Eukaryota, Metazoa, Chordata, Mammalia, Carnivora, Mustelidae. The record is from RefSeq and is a predicted model, not a curated record.